AUCCAACUGACGAGUCCCAAACAGAACGAAACGCGCGUCCUGGAU
This 45-nucleotide non-coding RNA is filed under the name Schistosoma margrebowiei. The record is from RNAcentral. Lineage: Eukaryota; Metazoa; Platyhelminthes; Trematoda; Strigeidida; Schistosomatidae.